RNAcentral lists this ribosomal RNA (253 nucleotides) under uncultured bacterium. RNAcentral describes it as "partial 16S ribosomal RNA". It matches the Rfam family "Bacterial small subunit ribosomal RNA", at positions 524 to 776 of the family's 1533-position model. The record is from RNAcentral.
UACGUAGGGGGCAAGCGUUGUCCGGAUUUAUUGGGCGUAAAGAGCGUGUAGGCGGCCAGGUAGGUCCGCUGUGAAAACUCGAGGCUCAACCUCGAGAUGUCGGCGGAAACCAUCUGGCUAGAGUCCGGAAGAGGAAAGUGGAAUUCCUGGUGUAGCGGUGAAAUGCGCAGAUAUCAGGAAGAACACCCGUGGCGAAGGCGGCUUUCUGGGACGGUACUGACGCUGAGACGCGAAAGCGUGGGGAGCGAACAGG